AGGACGAACGCUGGCGGCGUGCUUAACACAUGCAAGUCGAGCGGUAAGGCCUUUCGGGGUACACGAGCGGCGAACGGGUGAGUAACACGUGGGUGAUCUGCCCUGCACUUCGGGAUAAGCCUGGGAAACUGGGUCUAAUACCGGAUAUGACCUCAGGUUGCAUGACUUGGGGUGGAAAGAUUUAUCGGUGCAGGAUGGGCCCGCGGCCUAUCAGCUUGUUGGUGGGGUAAUGGCCUACCAAGGCGACGACGGGUAGCCGACCUGAGAGGGUGACCGGCCACGACUGGGACUGAGACACGGCCCAGACUCCUACGGGAGGCAGCAGUGGGAAUAUGCACAAUGGGCGAAAGCCUGAUGCAGCGACGCCGCGUGAGGAUGAACGGCCUUCGGGUUGUAAACCUCUUUCAGCAGGACGAAGCGCAAGGUGACGGUACCUGGCCAAGAAGAAGCACCGGCUAACUACGU
RNAcentral lists this ribosomal RNA (465 nucleotides) under uncultured soil bacterium. RNAcentral's name for it is "bacterial SSU rRNA". It matches the Rfam family "Bacterial small subunit ribosomal RNA", at positions 26 to 506 of the family's 1533-position model. The record is from RNAcentral.